AUGAACGCUGGCGGCGUGCCUAAUACAUGCCAGUCGAGCGAACAGAUGAGGAGCUUGCUCCUCUGACGUUAGCGGAGGACGGGUGAGUAACACGUGGAUAACCUACCUAUAAGACUGGGAUAACUUCGGGAAACCGGAGCUAAUACCGGAUAAUAUAUUGAACCGCAUGGUUCAAUAGUGAAAGACGGUUUUGCUGUCACUUAUAGAUGGAUCCGCGCCGCAUUAGCUAGUUGGUAAGGUAACGGCUUACCAAGGCAACGAUGCGUAGCCGACCUGAGAGGGUGAUCGGCCACACUGGAACUGAGACACGGUCCAGACUCCUACGGGAGGCAGCAGUAGGGAAUCUUCCGCAAUGGGCGAAAGCCUGACGGAGCAACGCCGCGUGAGUGAUGAAGGUCUUCGGAUCGUAAAACUCUGUUAUUAGGGAAGAACAAAUGUGUAAGUAACUAUGCACGUCUUGACGGUACCUAAUCAGAAAGCCACGGCUAACUACGUG
RNAcentral lists this ribosomal RNA (496 nucleotides) under uncultured bacterium. RNAcentral describes it as "partial 16S ribosomal RNA". It matches the Rfam family "Bacterial small subunit ribosomal RNA", at positions 29 to 507 of the family's 1533-position model. The record is from RNAcentral.